GAUGCAAAAGAACACAUAUUGUCGGGCAAAGACAAAGCCUUCAUUGAGGGACGACAAAUCAACACAUUCAAAGGGAGAGGUGUGUUUGCACUUGAGCACAUUGAACCAUCCACCUUUGUUGUUGAAUACCGUGGGAUUCUCUCUCAAAGUAAACAUGUUAAAGAUGUUCAAGGCAACUACUUGUUUGACUUCACAUGGAAUGGAACACGUUAUUGCAUAGAUGCAACAAAAGAGGACGGUGG
Rhinichthys klamathensis goyatoka is the source of this 242-nucleotide long non-coding RNA. RefSeq lists it as uncharacterized. The transcript has 3 exons. The record is from RefSeq and is a predicted model, not a curated record. Lineage: Eukaryota; Metazoa; Chordata; Actinopteri; Cypriniformes; Leuciscidae.